Molecule: long non-coding RNA, 1751 nt
Filed under: Triticum aestivum (bread wheat)
Lineage: Eukaryota; Viridiplantae; Streptophyta; Magnoliopsida; Poales; Poaceae
Description: long non-coding RNA (TAES_LNC007100)
Source: RNAcentral
CGCACAUGUCACCAACAGCAACACCUUCUCAGCCUUGAAAAACAACUAUGAAGAGUGUUCUUACGAUUAAACCAUAUAUAUGUAUGCAAGCACUGGCUCAAUAACUUCACUGAUAUGCAAGGCAGCUCGUCAACAUGUAAAACCUGCAGUGCAUGACAAGCCUCUAAAAUCCAAACGUUAUGAAACCAAUUUAUAUAUUUACUAAGCUUUUCAGAAUACUCAUUUUACUAAAAAUGUGAAGAAAAUGAAAAAUGGAUAAAAUUUUGACUGACAUUCACCACGUCCAGUUUUCAGCAAUAACAGUGAAACAAAAGAUGUUGGUCUGCAUCUGCAGCUAAAGUGCUGCACACACAUACAACAAAACAAUUAGUAUGUUGCAUCUUCCGGCAUCAUUAGUAAGCAGAGCAAAAGGAAUAGACUAAGCAAGUCUUCUUUACCAUCCAAGGUUAUCCAUUUUCAUAAUGAGGUUACCGACUUUGUACAUUCGACUGAAUUGUUCUGCAAAACAUGAAGGCCGUAUAUUUCAUCAGCAUGGAUAAUUGCUAUGAAAGAAAGAUAAUGUACACUCAGUUCCAUUGUUCCGCUAGUAGUAAUGGUAUCUUAAGUGAUAGGAGUUUGAUUAUGUUUUCCUUAGAAUGCAUGUCGUUAUGGUCUUAGAUUUGCUGCACUCCUUCCAUGCAAGUUGUAGAAAUAUAAAAUGGCAUGGGAUUCUAGGAAAACAAAGUGGGUGUGGAACACACUGACUAUAAACUCAUACACAUAUGCUCAGUAAAAUUAUAGAAAACAAAUAAAUGUUGUAUUAUCUAUAUAUGCUUAGUUAGACAUAUAAGAGAUUAAGUUGUUCACUUUGUUUUGUUGUAUCAGUUGUCUCCUUAUGCUGGGCUCAUGGACCUGUGCAAUGAAGACAGAGUAUAAGUACAACCUUUCAUUACUUAUACAUGGUAAUAAGGAGCAGUCAAUAGCAAUGAUUCACUCAGAAAGCGUUCUGACGCUGAAUAUAUGUAUGAUAACUGAAUAAUUGGUUUCAAGCCUCUUGAUAUGGGAGACGCUAUCAACAGGCACCUGUGGGUUACAAUUAUAUAAGGAUAUUAGAUGUGAUUUAAAACAAAAAUAUAUUGAAUAGUAAAGUACAUAAGCUGGAAAUAUAUGUACAUGAUUAGCCGAAGUGAUUUGAAAUAUGUAACAACCAAUAGUCUGCAACAACACUAACAAGCUGGAAUCAGAAAAGAAUUUAAAUAUAGCGGAAACAAAUAAAUGUAGUGUGGUUUUAAUUAUAGUUUUGAUACUGCCAAAGAUUAUUAUAACUAUCUUAUCCCGGUAAUUUUAAAGAACCAUGCUGCUAGUUCUUUAUGAAGGGCCUCCAAUCAGAAGAACUGCUACCAGACCCUUGUAAAGACCUAUGCUCAAGACCAUCACAAACAUCUAAAACUUUUUACUUAGAUUACAGGGACUACCAUAAAAAAUGCUUGAGAACCUCGAGAUUCAACCUGACAUCAUCCAAGCUUCUGAUUUGGUUGUACAAAAGUCAAAUGAAAUGAGCUAAAGAAGAAACUGAGCAAAGAUUUAAAUUGUAACAACUCCUUAUGGUUCUCCCCUUUCUGAACUAAACUAACCAGCUAUGCACUGUAAUUACUCCAAAAUAUGCAUGCCAUUCUUUAUACAUGAUACUAAAAAAGCCUGUAGAAAUAGAACAGUCUUGAUACUCUAGAUUUCUAAACAAUCAUAAAGGGAAGAUUUUUAAACACACAUAC